GUAGGUGGCAAGCGUUGUCCGGAAUUAUUGGGCGUAAAGCGCGCGCAGGCGGUUCUUUAAGUCUGAUGUGAAAGCCCACGGCUCAACCGUGGAGGGUCAUUGGAAACUGGAGAACUUGAGUACAGAAGAGGAAAGCGGAAUUCCACGUGUAGCGGUGAAAUGCGUAGAGAUGUGGAGGAACACCAGUGGCGAAGGCGGCUUUCUGGUCUGUAACUGACGCUGAGGCGCGAAAGCGUGGGGAGCAAACAGGGAUUAGAUACCCUGGUAGUCCACGCCGUAAACGAUGAGUGCUAAGCGUUAGGGGGUUUCCGCCCCCUUAGUGCUGCAGCUAACGCAUUAAGCACUCCGCCUGGGGAUACGGCCGCAAGGCUG
Molecule: ribosomal RNA, 372 nt
Filed under: uncultured organism
Description: partial 16S ribosomal RNA
Rfam family: Bacterial small subunit ribosomal RNA
Source: RNAcentral